CCUGCAUGUCCCACGGUACCUGCUGCUCUGCACUUCUUGACCCCUCUCUCAGCUGCAGUUUUCCAGGACUCCAGCACAGCAAAGCAGGUAGCUGGAUCAUGGCAAUUUUGCUGCCUCUGGUAAUUCGCCACCCUGGGUAAUCACCUAAUUUAUUGCGCCUGGUGCUGGUCCUAGAGUAACAGCCUUUGUCUCUGGGGGGAUUGCUACCACCACAAGGCAACUGUUUGGGUUGUACCUGUACUCAGUCUCUUACGUGAUGUAGCGGUGCAGUAGCAUGGGACAAGUGGCUCUGCUAGCUGGUGGGUCCAUUGCUUUAUUAAAUUUCUGGUUCCCCUUUAAAAUUAGGUGAAGUAUAUUGUCUUCCUGAAAAGUCUUAAGUCCCGUACUUGGUAUAUACUUAGUAUAUACCUAGUGAUUUUGAAACAACAACAACGAAAUGCUUAAUUUGCCAAUGUUCUACAAUGUUGUUGCCAAGAUUGGAAGAGCGAUAAAGAUUACUUGAUUAAUUUGUUGCUAUAUUAGAGACAGGCUGAAAUCUCCAGCUGUGCAAUGCAGGAACAUUUUGAAGCAGGAAAUAACAGGGACAAGACAACAGCAUUCCUGUGCUUGAGUGGACAUUCAGAAUACUCAAGGAAUGUAUCGGACCAGAAUGAAGGCAGGUGCUUUUAAUACAGAAGGAGCUUCUGCCUCUGGAGGAAACCCCCCUUCCCCUCUCCUGCUGCUUAUGAAGUAUUGUUGCCUCUCUGAUGCCAUCCCAUCCCUUACUUCUGCUUAG
Molecule: long non-coding RNA, 775 nt
Filed under: Dromaius novaehollandiae (emu)
Lineage: Eukaryota; Metazoa; Chordata; Aves; Casuariiformes; Dromaiidae
Description: lncRNA (ENSDNVG00000018491.1)
Source: RNAcentral